RNAcentral lists this ribosomal RNA (1018 nucleotides) under Nostocaceae cyanobacterium XII.63.a. RNAcentral's name for it is "bacterial SSU rRNA". It matches the Rfam family "Bacterial small subunit ribosomal RNA", at positions 413 to 1434 of the family's 1533-position model. The record is from RNAcentral. Lineage: Bacteria; Bacillati; Cyanobacteriota; Cyanophyceae; Nostocales; Nostocaceae.
GGCUCUUGGGUUGUAAACCUCUUUUCUCAGGGAAUAAAAAAAUGAAGGUACCUGAGGAAUAAGCAUCGGCUAACUCCGUGCCAGCAGCCGCGGUAAUACGGAGGAUGCAAGCGUUAUCCGGAAUGAUUGGGCGUAAAGGGUCCGCAGGUGGCAUUGUAAGUCUGCUGUCAAAGAAUGAGGCUCAACCUCAUCAAGGCAGUGGAAACUACAAAGCUAGAGUGCGUUCGGGGCAGAAGGAAUUCCUGGUGUAGCGGUGAAAUGCGUAGAGAUCAGGAAGAACACCGGUGGCGAAAGCGUGCUACUAGGCCUGUACUGACGCUGAAGGGACGAAAGCUAGGGGGAGCGGAUGGGAAUUAAUACCCCAGUAGUCCCUACCCUAAACGAAUGGGAUACUAAGGCGUGGCUUUGUAUCGACCCGAGCCGUGCCGGAAGCUAACGCGUUAAAGUAUUCCCGGCCUGGGGAGUACGCACGCAGAUGUUAAACUCAAAGGAAUUGACGCGGGGCCCGCACAAGCAGGGGGAGUAUGUGAUAUAAUUCGAUGCAACGCGAAGAACCUUACCAAGGCUUGACAUGUCGCGAAUCUUCUUGAAAGGGAAGAGUGCCUUCGGGAGCGCGAACACAGGUGGUGCAUGGCUGUCGUCAGCUCGUGUCGUGAGAUGUUGGGUUAAGUCCCGCAACGAGCGCAACCCUCGUUUUUAGUUGCCAGCAUUAAGUUGGGCACUCUAGAGAGACUGCCGGUGACAAACCGGAGGAAGGUGGGGAUGACGUCAAGUCAGCAUGCCCCUUACGUCUUGGGCUACACACGUACUACAAUGCUACGGACAGAGGGCAGCUAAACAGCGAUGUCAAGCAAAUCCCGUAAACCGUAGCUCAGUUCAGAUCGCAGGCUGCAACUCGCCUGCGUGAAGGAGGAAUCGCUAGUAAUUGCAGGUCAGCAUACUGCAGUGAAUUCGUUCCCGGGCCUUGUACACACCGCCCGUCACACCAUGGAAGCUGGCAACGCCCGAAGUCAUUACU